Molecule: long non-coding RNA, 368 nt
Filed under: Homo sapiens (human)
Lineage: Eukaryota; Metazoa; Chordata; Mammalia; Primates; Hominidae
Description: non-protein coding lnc-PRKCA-1:1
Source: RNAcentral
UUAGAUAAAAAGAUGGCUAUUUCUUUAUCUCCACUUAGCAUAUUAAAGGUAAGGCAGAGGGAGAGGUGGAAGUGAAAAAGUUUCUAAGUAUAGAAAAAUAUGAUUUACUAUACUUUUUAUUUUUUGUUAUUUCUUCUAAGUGGAGAUAAAAGAGAAUUUGGGGUAAAAUGAAAAUUGGACAUAAAUUUACCCAAAAAAAGGCAUCUUUCAGGGUGCAGUGACUUGCACUUUUAAUCCCAGCUACUUGGGAGGUUGAGGCAGGAGGAUCAUUUGAGCCCAGGAGGUGGAGCCUAUAGUGAGCUAUGAUUGCACCACUAUACUUCACCCUGGGUGACAGAGCAAGACCUUAUCUCUUUAAAAAAAAAGGC